Molecule: ribosomal RNA, 707 nt
Filed under: Beauveria caledonica
Lineage: Eukaryota; Fungi; Ascomycota; Sordariomycetes; Hypocreales; Cordycipitaceae
Description: partial large subunit ribosomal RNA
Rfam family: Eukaryotic large subunit ribosomal RNA
Source: RNAcentral
UCAGGGCCCGAGUUGUAAUUUGUAGAGGAUGCUUUUGGCGAGGUGCCUUCCGAGUUCCCUGGAACGGGACGCCACAGAGGGUGAGAGCCCCGUAUGGUCGGACACCGAGCCUCUGUAAAGCUCCUUCGACGAGUCGAGUAGUUUGGGAAUGCUGCUCAAAAUGGGAGGUAUAUGUCUUCUAAAGCUAAAUAUUGGCCAGAGACCGAUAGCGCACAAGUAGAGUGAUCGAAAGAUGAAAAGCACUUUGAAAAGAGGGUUAAAAAGUACGUGAAAUUGUUGAAAGGGAAGCGCCUAUGACCAGACUUGGGCCCGGUGAAUCACCCAGCGUUCUCGCUGGUGCACUUUGCCGGGCACAGGCCAGCAUCAGUUCAGCGCGGGGGAGAAAGGCUUCGGGAAUGUGGCUCCCUCGGGAGUGUUAUAGCCCGCUGCGUAAUGCCCUGCGCCGGACUGAGGUACGCGCAUUGCAAGGAUGCUGGCGUAAUGGUCAUCAGCGACCCGUCUUGAAACACGGACCAAGGAGUCGUCUUCGUAUGCGAGUGUUCGGGUGUCAAACCCCUACGCGUAAUGAAAGUGAACGUAGGUGAGAGCUUCGGCGCAUCACCGACCGAUCCUGAUGUUCUCGGAUGGAUUUGAGUAAGAGCAUACGGGGCCGGACCCGAAAGAAGGUGAACUAUGCCUGUAUAGGGUGAAGCCAGAGGAAACUCUGG